CGACCGGCGCACGGGUGCGUAACGCGUAUGUAACCUACCUAUAACAGGGGCAUAACACUGAGAAAUUGGUACUAAUUCCCCAUAAUAUUCGGAGAGGCAUCUCUCCGGGUUGAAAACUCCGGUGGUUAUAGAUGGACAUGCGUUGUAUUAGCUAGUUGGUGAGGUAACGGCUCACCAAGGCAACGAUACAUAGGGGGACUGAGAGGUUAACCCCCCACACUGGUACUGAGACACGGACCAGACUCCUACGGGAGGCAGCAGUGAGGAAUAUUGGUCAAUGGACGCAAGUCUGAACCAGCCAUGCCGCGUGCAGGAAGACGGCUCUAUGAGUUGUAAACUGCUUUUGUACGAGGGUAAACUCACCUACGUGUAGGUGACUGAAAGUAUCGUACGAAUAAGGAUCGGCUAACUCCGUGCCAGCAGCCGCGGUAAUACGGAGGAUUCAAGCGUUAUCCGGAUUUAUUGGGUUUAAAGGGUGCGUAGGCGGUUUGAUAAGUUAGAGGUGAAAUCCCGGGGCUUAACUCCGGAACUGCCUCUAAUACUGUUAGAUUAGAGAGUAGUUGCGGUAGGCGGAAUGUAUGGUGUA
This 586-nucleotide ribosomal RNA is filed under the name uncultured Bacteroidales bacterium. Its description in RNAcentral is "bacterial SSU rRNA". It matches the Rfam family "Bacterial small subunit ribosomal RNA", at positions 92 to 677 of the family's 1533-position model. The record is from RNAcentral. Lineage: Bacteria; Pseudomonadati; Bacteroidota; Bacteroidia; Bacteroidales.